UUACAGCUAGAUGUCGUUACCAUCGCAUUGUUUUCUUGUCACAGGUCGGAAAGUUGUUGCUGCUUCUUUGUUAUUUUCUUGGUGUUUGUGAAAUAAAUUCAACACCAUAUCAAAUUAGGAAACGUGAAAGGAUCGUGGCCGUCGUUCAGCCUACCGUCAACUAUUUUGUUCAAAAUCAUUGUAUUCUACUGAAUGUGCCAUCGAAAUGAUACAGGAGUCAUAAUUAUCUGCUGUUUGUAUUGGAUUUGCUAGAUCACCAACCCCAGCAUAGACCAAUCUCUAAUUUCAUCUUCUCGAGAGAAGAUUGGAUAACGGAUCAGUGGUUUCAUGUGUUCUUAACUCCAGGUUUCUAAAUUUGCAGAUUGGCAGACU
This 372-nucleotide long non-coding RNA is filed under the name Daphnia pulicaria. RNAcentral describes it as "uncharacterized LOC124314965, transcript variant X1". The record is from RNAcentral. Lineage: Eukaryota; Metazoa; Arthropoda; Branchiopoda; Diplostraca; Daphniidae.